GCUCUCCCCCGUCACCGACUUCAGGGAAGCCUGCUGCCGCCAGUAUGAGAUGGGGGAGUGUACCAGAGGAGGCUUCUGCAACUUCAUGCACCUGAAACCCAUAUCGCGGGAACUUCGACGGGAGUUGUACGGCCGCCGCAGGAAAGGGCCUGACCCUGGCUCGCGCCCCAGGGAACGUCGCUCCCGAUCCAAGGACCGGCGGCGGGACCGCGAGAGGCCGAGAAGGUCGAGGGACCGAGAGCGCUCCGGACGAUUCUG
Notothenia coriiceps (black rockcod) is the source of this 258-nucleotide long non-coding RNA. RefSeq lists it as uncharacterized. The transcript has 3 exons. Lineage: Eukaryota; Metazoa; Chordata; Actinopteri; Perciformes; Nototheniidae. The record is from RefSeq and is a predicted model, not a curated record.